CGUGGGGAAUCUGCCUUUGAGCGGGGGACAACAUUUGGAAACGAAUGCUAAUACCGCAUAAAAACUUUAAACACAAGUUUUAAGUUUGAAAGAUGCAAUUGCAUCACUCAAAGAUGAUCCCGCGUUGUAUUAGCUAGUUGGUGAGGCAAAGGCUCACCAAGGCGAUGAUACAUAGCCGGCCUGAGAGGGUGAUCGGCCACAUUGGGACUGAGACACGGCCCAAACUCCUACGGGAGGCAGCAGUAGGGAAUCUUCGGCAAUGGACGAAAGUCUGACCGAGCAACGCCGCGUGAGUGAAGAAGGUUUUCGGAUCGUAAAACUCUGU
Molecule: ribosomal RNA, 325 nt
Filed under: Lactococcus lactis
Lineage: Bacteria; Bacillati; Bacillota; Bacilli; Lactobacillales; Streptococcaceae
Description: bacterial SSU rRNA
Rfam family: Bacterial small subunit ribosomal RNA
Source: RNAcentral